This 253-nucleotide ribosomal RNA is filed under the name uncultured bacterium. Its description in RNAcentral is "partial 16S ribosomal RNA". It matches the Rfam family "Bacterial small subunit ribosomal RNA", at positions 524 to 776 of the family's 1533-position model. The record is from RNAcentral.
UACGUAGGGGGCUAGCGUUGUCCGGAUUUAUUGGGCGUAAAGGGCGCGUAGGCGGCGCGACAAGUCACUUGUGAAAUCUCCGGGCUUAACUCGGAACGGUCAAGUGAAACUGUCAUGCUAGAGUGCAGAAGGGGCAAUCGGAAUUCUUGGAGUAGCGGUGAAAUGCGUAGAUAUCAAGAGGAACACCUGAGGUGAAGACGGGUUGCUGGGCUGACACUGACGCUGAGGCGCGAAAGCCAGGGGAGCAAACGGG